RNAcentral lists this small nuclear RNA (107 nucleotides) under Urocitellus parryii (Arctic ground squirrel). Lineage: Eukaryota; Metazoa; Chordata; Mammalia; Rodentia; Sciuridae. The record is from RNAcentral.
GUGCUCGCUUCGGCAGCACAUAUACUAAAAUUGGAACAAUACAGUGAAGAUUAGCAUGGCCCCUACACAAGGAUGACAUGCAAAUUCAUGAAGCGUUCCAUAUCUUU